RNAcentral lists this ribosomal RNA (415 nucleotides) under Acanthamoeba sp. RNAcentral's name for it is "SSU rRNA". It matches the Rfam family "Eukaryotic small subunit ribosomal RNA", at positions 778 to 1097 of the family's 1831-position model. Lineage: Eukaryota; Discosea; Longamoebia; Acanthamoebidae. The record is from RNAcentral.
AUUCAAUUUUCUGCCACCGAAUACAUUAGCAUGGGAUAAUGGAAUAGGACCCUGUCCUCCUAUUUUCAGUUGGUUUUGGCAGCGCGAGGACUAGGGUAAUGAUUAAUAGGGAUAGUUGGGGGCAUUAAUAUUUAAUUGUCAGAGGUGAAAUUCUUGGAUUUAUGAAAGAUUAACUUCUGCGAAAGCAUCUGCCAAGGAUGUUUUCAUUAAUCAAGAACGAAAGUUAGGGGAUCGAAGACGAUCAGAUACCGUCGUAGUCUUAACCAUAAACGAUGCCGACCAGCGAUUAGGAGACGUUGAAUACAAAACACCACCAUCGGCGCGGUCGUCCUUGGCGUUCGUGUUCACGCACGAGCGCGAGGGCGGCUUAGCCCGAUGGCACCGGUGAAUGACUCCCCUAGCAGCUUGUGAGAAA